GGGCCAGUGGUGGAAAUGGUAGACACAGCGGUCUCCAAAACCGUAGCCGUCGCAAGCAUGUGGGUUCGAAUCCCACCUGGCCCACCA
RNAcentral lists this transfer RNA (87 nucleotides) under Hyphomonadaceae bacterium. RNAcentral describes it as "tRNA-Trp". It matches the Rfam family "tRNA". Rfam says of the family: Transfer RNA (tRNA) molecules are approximately 80 nucleotides in length. Their secondary structure includes four short double-helical elements and three loops (D, anti-codon, and T loops). The record is from RNAcentral. Lineage: Bacteria; Pseudomonadati; Pseudomonadota; Alphaproteobacteria; Hyphomonadales; Hyphomonadaceae.